Molecule: long non-coding RNA, 1494 nt
Organism: Syngnathoides biaculeatus (alligator pipefish)
Lineage: Eukaryota; Metazoa; Chordata; Actinopteri; Syngnathiformes; Syngnathidae
Exons: 3
Source: RefSeq, a predicted model, not a curated record
GGCACGUCCCUCCGUCUGUCAGUCCACAGCAGACCCUGAACGUCUCGGAACCAGGAGGGCGAACAACAGACGUCACUUCUGCUCCACUUCCGCUCCUUUGUGCGCGUGCGCACUUGCUGGCUGAGUUCAGAGUGUACCCUGCCUCCUGCCCGAUGCCAGCUGGGAUUGGCUCCAGCACUCCCGCGACCCUAAUGAGGAUAAGCGGCUCAGAAAAUGGAUGGAUGGAACAACACAACAACAACAACAGAGCCCUAACAAAACAUCUAUGGGUAACACUUACUGCUUGAGAGACGGCGGAACAGUGGACAACCAGUGAGCACAUAUGCCUCACAUUUCUGACGACUGGGAUUCAAAUCUCAGCUUGUUCUGCCCGUGGCUGUGCGAGUUUUCUCUCAGCACUCCAGCUUCCUCCCCAAAACAUCCAUGAUAGGUUGAUGCUAACUCGCCUGUAAGUGUGAAUGUGAGUGCAAAUGGUUAUAUGUUUAGGCAGCUGUUGCCCAAUGGUUAAGAUCAUCACCUGCCACCCCGAGGGACCUAGAUUGAAAACCCAGACCGGGCCAUUUGCCAACAUCUCACGGCUGUGGCGUCCUUGAGCAAGUCACUGAUACUCUGAACUGCUGCCCUCAUGCUCUGGUGUGUAUGUGUGUGUGUUCACUGAUAGGUAAAAUGCAGAGAACAAUUUUUGUGUGAAUCCAUGCAUGUUCAUGACAAUAAACGUGAUUCUUUUUCGUUUGUAUGCGUCCUGCGAUUGGACGGAGACCAGUUCAGGAUGUCCCCUGCCUCUUGCCCGAAGAUAACUGGGAUAGGCUUCAGUAUGCCCGCAAACCCUUGUGAGGAUAAGCGGUGGAUGGAUGGAUAUAUAUCUUCCAUAUACAGUAUAGACAUGGUAAAAUUCUGACUUGUUUAAAAAAAAUGCAUCUUUUUGUCCAUAAGAUUACAACUAAAUUGCAAAAUGCCACUUUUUAGCAGUAAAGUUAUGACUUUCAUUUGGAAGAUGAAGAAAAAUAGUAAAAAAUUAGUUUGUAAAAAUAUUUCCCCCCAUCUGUCUCCUAUAUCUAUGAGCCUGAAAUGUAAACACUCCCACAGUGGUUGGAAUUGUCCUUUUAAUUGGACCACUGCACACAUCAGCGAUCAGUGUCAGCCCUAAAAGAAUUUUUGUCCCGGCGUCACUAAAAUAUAAUAGGAAGUGUAAAAAUGUAUAAAUAUGCCUCAUUAUAUCACCCAGUAUACGCAUGCUCUCUGAAUCCUCCCGAGUGCUUCAAGUUGGCCAUGUUUUAUUCAUAGUGAAGAGAAAACAGAAGGAGCACACGCCUGUCAAUUGCAUGUUCACACCUAAACUCAACACCCACGCCCAUACUGUGACUCAUUUGUCCCCUUCCGCGUAUAUGUGUGUGUAUUAGUGUGUACGUGUGUGUUUGUGUGCAUGUGUAUAUGUGUGUGUGUGCAUGUGUGCUUGCGUGGUGGGCUUGGACUGCUGUCUUGGCAAGAAUAUGU